GGGCUCACUUCAGCAGCACAUAUACUAAACACUAGCAUGGCCCCUGUGCAAGGAUGAUGUGCAAAUUUGUGAAAUGUUCCAUAUAUUU
Molecule: small nuclear RNA, 88 nt
Organism: Colobus angolensis palliatus
Lineage: Eukaryota; Metazoa; Chordata; Mammalia; Primates; Cercopithecidae
Source: Ensembl